UACGUAGGUGGCAAGCGUUAUCCGGAUUUAUUGGGCGUAAAGCGCGCGUAGGCGGUUUUUUAAGUCUGAUGUGAAAGCCCACGGCUCAACCGUGGAGGGUCAUUGGAAACUGGAAAACUUGAGUGCAGAAGAGGAAAGUGGAAUUCCAUGUGUAGCGGUGAAAUGCGCAGAGAUAUGGAGGAACACCAGUGGCGAAGGCGCCUUUCUGGUCUGUAACUGACGCUGAUGUGCGAAAGCGUGGGGAUCAAACAGG
RNAcentral lists this ribosomal RNA (253 nucleotides) under uncultured bacterium. RNAcentral's name for it is "partial 16S ribosomal RNA". It matches the Rfam family "Bacterial small subunit ribosomal RNA", at positions 524 to 776 of the family's 1533-position model. The record is from RNAcentral.